GCUUAAUAUUUAUCUAUUUUUAUUUUAAAUUUUUAUUGUUUAAAUAUAUAAAAAUAAAAAAUAUUUUAUUGGGGUGAUAAGAAUAAUUAAUAAACUGUUCUAAAUUUAAACAAAGUUAUUUGAUAAAAUAAUAGAUCCUUUUCAGAGAUUAAAAGUUUAAGUU
RNAcentral lists this ribosomal RNA (163 nucleotides) under Galathea orientalis. RNAcentral's name for it is "partial 16S rRNA". Lineage: Eukaryota; Metazoa; Arthropoda; Malacostraca; Decapoda; Galatheidae. The record is from RNAcentral.